GGGAUUGCCUUAGUAACGGCGAGUGAAGCGGCAACAGCUCAAAUUUGAAAUCUGGCCUCUGGGUCCGAGUUGUAAUUUGGAGAGGAUGUUUCGGGUACGGUCCGGGCUUAAAUUUCUUGGAACAGAAUGUCACAGAGGGUGAGAGUCCCGUCUGGAGUCCGCGACACGGCCUAUGUGAAACUCCUUCGACGAGUCGAGUUGUUUGGGAAUGCAGCUCUAAAUGGGUGGUAAAUUUCAUCUAAAGCUAAAUAUUGGCCAGAGACCGAUAGCGCACAAGUAGAGUGAUCGAAAGAUGAAAAGCACUUUGAAAAGAGAGUUAAACAGUACGUGAAAUUGUUGAAAGGGAAGCGCAGGCAACCAGACUUGCAUGUCGGGGUUCCCCCUUGCUUCUGCCUGGGUUACUCCCCGGCGUUCAGGCCAACAUCGGUUUCGGGGGUCGGUUAAAGGCCUUGGGAAUGUACCUACCCUUCGGGGUAGACUUAUAGCCCAGGGUGUCAUGCGACCUCCCGGGACCGAGGAACGCGCUUCGGCUCGGAUGUUGGCGUAAUGGUUGUCUGCGACCCGUCUUGAAACACGGACCAAGGAGUCUAACAUCUAUGCGAGUGUUAGGGUGUCAAACCCUUACGCGGAAUGAAAGUGAACGGAGGUAGGAAGCCGUUAGGCUGCACUAUCGACCGAUCCUGAAGUUUACGGAUGGAUUUGAGUAAGAGCAUAGCUGUUGGGACCCGAAAGAUGGUGAACUAUGCCUGAAUAGGGUGAAGCCAGAGGAAACUCUGGUGGAGGCUCGCAGCGG
This 793-nucleotide ribosomal RNA is filed under the name Scolecobasidium fusarioideum. RNAcentral describes it as "eukaryotic LSU rRNA". It matches the Rfam family "Eukaryotic large subunit ribosomal RNA", at positions 71 to 883 of the family's 3401-position model. Lineage: Eukaryota; Fungi; Ascomycota; Dothideomycetes; Venturiales; Sympoventuriaceae. The record is from RNAcentral.